RNAcentral lists this unclassified non-coding RNA (248 nucleotides) under Hevea brasiliensis (rubber tree). The record is from RNAcentral. Lineage: Eukaryota; Viridiplantae; Streptophyta; Magnoliopsida; Malpighiales; Euphorbiaceae.
UUGAGGCGCUCCUGUUGCUCUGGGAUCAAUUCCUUUAGCUGAGAAUGAAGGUCAAGAUGGGAAGAGCUCUGCAUCUGGAGCCAUCUAACGGAAUAGCUGAGAUUAGACUGUUGAACAGCACAAGAACGAAGUCGCGAAAACAGAGAAACGCUUCUAAAGAACACCAUCGCUUACUUACUGACACGAGUCAGAGGAGCGAUGCUAACAAGAGAAACAAGGGGAGAAAGAGAUGUGAUGAAUGAGAAGUG